AUGGAAAGCGGCGGACGGGUGAGUAACGCGUAGGCAACCUGCCUCUCACAGAGGGAUAGCCAUCGGAAACGGUGAUUAAUACCACAUAAAGUUGAGACAACACAUGUUGACCCAACCAAAGAUUUAUCGGUGAGAGAUGGGCCUGCGUCUGAUUAACUAGUUGGUGGGGUAACGGCUCACCAAGGUGACGAUCAGUAGCCGACCUGAGAGGGUGAACGGCCACAUUGGAACUGAGACACGGUCCAAACUUC
RNAcentral lists this ribosomal RNA (251 nucleotides) under uncultured Eubacteriales bacterium. RNAcentral describes it as "uncultured Clostridiales bacterium partial 16S ribosomal RNA". It matches the Rfam family "Bacterial small subunit ribosomal RNA", at positions 88 to 339 of the family's 1533-position model. Lineage: Bacteria; Bacillati; Bacillota; Clostridia; Eubacteriales. The record is from RNAcentral.